GACGAACGCUGGCGGCGCGCUUAACACAUGCAAGUCGAGCGAAGCGGCGGACGGGUGAGUAACACGUGAGUAACCUGCCUUAGACAUUGGGAUAGCCUCGGGAAACCGGGAUUAAUACCAAAUGGUCUAAGAUGGACUCGCGUCCCAUUAGCGCGGUGGUGAGGUAACGGCCCACCAAGGCGACGCUGGGUAGCCGGCCUGCGAGGGUGAACGGCAACAUUGGAACUGAGAAACGGUCCAAACUCUACGGGAGGCAGCAGUGGGGAAUAUUGCACAAUGGGGGGAACUCUGAGGCAGCGACGCCGCGUGAACGAAGAAGGCUUUAGAGUCGUAAAGUGCUUUUAUAUGGGAAGCGGUACCAUAAGAAAAAGCCCCGGCUAACUACGUGCCAGCAGCCGCGGUAUUC
RNAcentral lists this ribosomal RNA (406 nucleotides) under uncultured bacterium. Its description in RNAcentral is "partial 16S ribosomal RNA". It matches the Rfam family "Bacterial small subunit ribosomal RNA", at positions 28 to 525 of the family's 1533-position model. The record is from RNAcentral.